CACGUAGGGUGCGAGCGUUGUCCGGAAUUAUUGGGCGUAAAGAGCUCGUAGGCGGUGUGUCGCGUCGGCCGUGAAAACCUGCAGCUUAACUGUGGGCUUGCGGUCGAUACGGGCAUCACUGGAGUUCGGCAGGGGAGACUGGAAUUCCUGGUGUAGCGGUGAAAUGCGUAGAGAUCCGGAGGAACACCGAAGGCGAAGGCAGUGUCCUGGCGCGUAACUGACGCUGAGGUGCGAAAGCCAGGGGAGCGAACGGG
Molecule: ribosomal RNA, 254 nt
Filed under: uncultured bacterium
Lineage: Bacteria
Description: partial 16S ribosomal RNA
Rfam family: Bacterial small subunit ribosomal RNA
Source: RNAcentral